GACGAACGCUGGCGGCGUGCCUAAUACAUGCAAGUCGAGCGAAGUUUUUCUGGUGCUUGCACUGACAACACUUAGCGGCGAACGGGUGAGUAACACGUAAAGAAUCUUCCUCAUAGACGGGGACAACUAUUGGAAACGAUAGCUAAUACCGCAUAAUAGCAUUAACUGCAUUGUUGAGGUUUAAAAGUUUGUUUUGCUAACACUAUGAGAUGGCUUUGCGGUGCAUUAGCUAGUUGGUGGGGUAAAGGCCUACCAAGGCGACGAUGCAUAGCCGACCUGAGAGGGUGAUCGGCCACACUGGGACUGAGACACGGCCCAGACUCCUACGGGAGGCAGCAGUAGGGAAUCUUCCGCAAUGGGCGAAAGCCUGACGGAGCAACGCCGCGUGAGUGAAGAAGGAUUUCGGUUCGUAAAGCUCUGUUGUUAGGGAAGAAUGGUUGUGUAGUAACUAGACGCCGUAGUGACGGUACCUAACCAGAAAGCCACGGCUAACUACGUG
Molecule: ribosomal RNA, 499 nt
Filed under: uncultured bacterium
Lineage: Bacteria
Description: partial 16S ribosomal RNA
Rfam family: Bacterial small subunit ribosomal RNA
Source: RNAcentral